Molecule: long non-coding RNA, 16636 nt
Filed under: Olea europaea (common olive)
Lineage: Eukaryota; Viridiplantae; Streptophyta; Magnoliopsida; Lamiales; Oleaceae
Description: long non-coding RNA (OEUR_LNC015172)
Source: RNAcentral
UAUGCAACACCAAGUGAUUCCGAAUUCUUGAAUUCUCUGAUAGGUGUGCCAUCCACAGAAAAGCUGUAAUGGGAGCACAAAAGAAAAAGUCAGAAGUUCCAACAAAGCAUAAUGAGGAGGUGUGUAGUAACUGUGAAAUAACUUACAUGAUACGUUGGGGAUUCCAAAGGAUGGAAUAGGUGUGAAAAUCUGCAGUCGGGUCGAACCAGAGAUAGAAUUGCUGCUCCCUAUUGCCCUUUCCUUGGCCAAACACAUUGGUGUGAAGAAUAUAAGGAUCGCCGCUAAGGUUUCCCAAGAACUCAAAGUCUAUCUCAUCAUGGGUUUGUCCUUGCGAAGACAACUGCACAAUACAUAACACAUUAUUAGUUAAAAAUGUACAAAGUAUGGUAUCAAGAAAGAAAAAGAAGAUGAAAUCUCUUCUACUGUGCUUACAUAAUAGGCAGUGACGGUGCCAGCAGAAUUUCCUGGGACAAGUUUGAGUAGCAUAUCAAUCUUGCCAAAUAGAUACUCAUUUUUGGAUUGAAAUCCGGAGCCAGAAGUUUUAUCGAGUGAGAGAGUAAGAAGUUCUCCGUUGUUGAGUAUCUUAGCUCUUCCAUCUCCCCAUGUGAUAUCAAAAUCUUGAUGGAAAUUACCUCCAAAUGCUAUUGCAAAACAGCUACUUAUAACUAAAACUAAAGAAACCGAAUUCAAAGAAGUCAUUACUGAAGAGUUGAAUUGCGUUGGCAAAAUACAAUGAAUAAAUCUAAGAAGAUUUGGUGUUUAAGAUUGUUGUUUGAUGUUGGAAUAGGAUCCAUUCAAGGGUAUUUAUAGGGAGUUUGUGGGGUCUGUAGAAAUUGCAGGGAGGGUUCCAUAAAUUCAAGUUGUGUGGUGAAAAGUGUUUGAGCUGGAUACAGAUAUUGGCCAAAACGAGUUGCUGUCAACAGUUUUUUGUAUAUCCAGUGACAACCCAUUUCGCCUUUUAAUAUUUAUUAUUAAUACCACAGUGCACACUGUUCUGAUAAUAUUGUCCUAGGUGUAAGCUUUUGACUAGAGUACAACUGAUUUACUUUUCAAAUAGUAAUACCUCUACAAUUUAAAAUAGAUAGCGAUUCAUUUACAUACUGAUACAUCUAUAAUUCAAAGGAAUCAAACCGGACAAGAUCCAAAAUCGCUCGAUUCGGUCCAAUUAAAUUCUCCAUUGUCUACGGAACCAACUUGUCCAUUUUGAAAUUCUCAAUGGGAUUUGGUUCGGUUCAAGUUCUCAAGAAACUCAGGUUGAACAAUCUGGCAUCCACUCCUAAUAUUUAAAGGUCCUAACCUUUAUCAUUUUCGUAUUUACAUCUUUAAGUUUUUCAUCACAUCUUUAUUUUUAACAUUUCCUUAGCUAGCAAAUAUUAUCCUUGCACAAAUGUUAUUAACGUGCUCUAAAAUGAGGAAUAAAUAUAUAGUUGUAAUUCUAUUUUUUUGGCUUAUUUAAAAAUACAAUGGUAAAUGUCUUUAUUUUAUUUGGACAAAAACCGCAAUAAGGGACAAGUUGUGUUAAUUUGAGAAUAAGAAUACAGUUUUAAAAAAUUAAGACAUAAAUGUGAUAAUGAUUAAAUAUUACGAACAUUUUCAUGCAAUCAAAAUGCGUUGCAAUUAUUAAAAAAUAUUUUGUGAAUACAUUUAGCCUUACUAAAUAAUCACACACUGAAUAGAAGUUUUGGUUUAAGACAUAUUUCGUUGUGUUAAAUCAUUUCUUUAAGUUUAUCGAUUCAGCUCAAUCAAUUAUCAACAACCCUCAAAUUUGUUACUUAGCCCCUGUUUGAGCCACAUUUUUACUUCAUUAAAAUGAAAAAUAUGACCGUUAUUCAUCACAUCAAGCCACAAUUUUUGAAUUUCUAUCUCUGGUGUGGGGGCCCAUAACGGUUCUAUUUCUCAUUCUCAUUCUCAUUAUAAUGUGGCUCAAAUAGGCUCUUAAUAAUAAAUGUUUUAGCAUUAAACUAAUCAAAUAAGCCAUUAAUUUUUCAAUAGAGAUUUUAAAUUUUGAAAUAGACAUCAUCAAAUUGUAUUUGGUUCUUUAUUAGUGUUAUAACUUUUUUAUUUUUACAUUUUAAAAUAUAUAUAAUAAUAUCCGUUAUCUAGGUUUCCUCCAGGUAUCAUAAUUGGACUCAGUAAAGAGAUGAUCCAUAUAAGUCUGGCCACUGAAAUCUCUAUUGUUCUUGUCCUACAUUGACAUUUAUUUUGUGGACUUUGGCUUUACGAGUAUUAUUGUUGUCUAGUUACAAUCUAUGCAUUACGCUCUAUUGGUUACUCUAUUUCAAAUCCAUUUAUAAAAAUUCUUUAGUUUUUUGAGAAAAACAUUAGUUCGAUCUAGAAAGAUUUGAUUAAAGUGAAGGUGAUCGACGACGAUGAGUUCACUUUUGCUUUUGUUACAAGGGAUUUCCGGAGAAUUUGAUUAAGCCCCUGUUUUCUUGAAAUUAAAAUAAAUAAAUAAAUAAAUAAAUAAAUUUUUAGUAGAUUUUGAUAAAAGUUGAUUAAAUAUGUGGUUGAAAAGUUGUGAAUCUAAUGAAAUGUAUAAUUAAAGAGUUUAGCUUAGAUUUAAAUUAUUUUUUAGCUGAACCAAAAAGGGGACUAAGUUUUAGAAACUUCCCUUGUCGAUAUAGGGGUUUUUGGGAAUUUUAGGAGUGUCUUAAGUAUUAGAUGUGACUUAUACCUUAUAAUCGUUUGGAGGCGGCUCAAGUAACUUUGGUGCAGUAGGUCGAGUCUUGUGUUAACAUUAACAAUAUUAGUGUUGAUUAUUAAAUUGAAAAUUAUUUGAAUGGAAUAAAGCCUCGAAGGGGAUUAUCGAUUGUACUACCAAAAGUGUGACACAAUGAACUUUCGCCAAUAAUUAUUCACAAAAUAUAUUUCAGGUCCACUCAAGCUCUCUCAACGCGGAUUGUUUAUAAAUGUGGCCCCCUUGGCCUUAUAAAAAUAAACCUCAAUAGAAUUGAACUUAUAUAAAUGUACCUCAUUUUAUGAUCAUGAUCAAUUUGAUCAUAUGUAUAAUAUUAACUCUCAGAAUUCUCUACAUAGAUAUUUACGUGAAAAAUUUAAGAAAGUUUGUUCUGGCAUCCACUCCUAAUAUUUAAAGGUCCUAACCUUUAUCAUUUUCGUAUUUACAUCUUUAAGUUUUUCAUCACAUCUUUAUUUUUAACAUUUCCUUAGCUAGCAAAUAUUAUCCUUGCACAAAUGUUAUUAACGUGCUCUAAAAUGAGGAAUAAAUAUAUAGUUGUAAUUCUAUUUUUUUGGCUUAUUUAAAAAUACAAUGGUAAAUGUCUUUAUUUUAUUUGGACAAAACCGCCAUAAGGGACAAGUUGUGUUAAUUUGAGAAUAAGAAUACAGUUUUAAAAAAUUAAGACAUAAAUGUGAUAAUGAUUAAAUAUUACGAACAUUUUCAUGCAAUCAAAAUGCGUUGCAAUUAUUAAAAAAUAUUUUGUGAAUACAUUUAGCCUUACUAAAUAAUCACACACUGAAUAGAAGUUUUGGUUUAAGACAUAUUUCGUUGUGUUAAAUCAUUUCUUUAAGUUUAUCGAUUCAGCUCAAUCAAUUAUCAACAACCCUCAAAUUUGCUACUUAAUAAUAAAUGCUUUAGCAUUAAACUAAUCAAAUAAGCCAUUAAUUUUUCAAUAGAGAUUUUAAAUUUUGAAAUAGACAUCAUCAAAUUGUAUUUGGUUCUUUAUUAGUGUUAUAACUUUUUUAUUUUUACAUUUUAAAAUAUAUAUAAUAAUAACCGUUAUCUAGGUUUCCUCCAGGUAUCAUAAUUGGACUCAGUAAAGAGAUGAUCCAUAUAAGUCUGGCCACUGAAAUCUCUAUUGUUCUUGUCCUACAUUGACAUUUAUUUUGUGGACUUUGGCUUUACGAGUAUUAUUGUUGUCUAGUUACAAUCUAUGCGUUACGCUCUAUUUGUUACUCUAUUUCAAAUCCAUUUAUAAAAAUUCUCUAGCUUUUUUAGAAAAACAUUAGUUCGAUCUAGAAAGAUUUGAUUAAAGUGAAGGUGAUUGACGACGAUGAGUUCAUUUUGCUUUUGUUACAAGGGAUUCUCUGGAGAUUUUGAUUAAAAUUUGAUUAAUCCCUUGUUAUAUUGAGAAAAAAGAAAACAAUUUUUAGGAGAUUUAGAUAAAAGUUGAUGAAAUAUGUGGUUGAAAAGUUGUGAAUCUCAUGAAAUGUAUAAUUAAAGAGUUUAGCUUAGAUUUAAAUUAUUUUUUAGCUGAACCAAAAAGGGGACUAAGUUUUAGAAACUUCCCUUGUCGAUAUAGGGGUUUUUGGGAAUUUUAGGAGUGUCUUAAGUAUUAGAUGUGACUUAUACCUUAUAAUCGUUUGGAGGCGGCUCAAGUAACUUUGGUGCAGUAGGUCGAGUCUUGUGUUAACAUUAACAAUAUUAGUGUUGAUUAUUAAAUUGAAAAUUAUUUGAAUGGAAUAAAGCCUCGAAGGGGAUUAUCGAUUGUACUACCAAAAGUGUGACACAAUGAACUUUCGCCAAUAAUUAUUCACAAAAUAUAUUUCAGGUCCACUCAAGCUCUCUCAACGCGGAUUGUUUAUAAAUGUGGCCCCCAUGGCCUUAUAAAAAUAAACCUCAAUAGAAUUGAACUUAUAUAAAUGUACCUCAUUUUAUGAUCAUGAUCAAUUUGAUCAUAUGUAUAAUAUUAACUCUCAGAAUUCUCUACAUAGAUAUUUACGUGAAAAAUUUAAGAAAGUUUGUAUACAACUAUGAAAUUAGCCACUUCAAAUAGGUUCAUUGCUCUAGCUCAAAAUACGAUUAAUCCGACGUUGGCUAUAUAAGCUCCUAGUAGUUUACCGGAUAAUUAAUAACUCGAGCAUUCCCUGCCCACCAAGCAAAAUCGGUGAUUUCUUGGUCACGAUCAAUUAAAGCUAAAGUUCCAAUUUACAUAAUUUCCUUUUAAAAGUCUUCAGUCACAAUCUCUGCACAAUACAAUCCAUUUUCACGCGUCUCUUAACCUUUUAGAAUAAUUAUACAAAAGACUUUCACAAGUAUACUUUCAAAUUACCCCCAACGCAUAUCUAUCAAUGACUCCCAUUAAGUAAUGUUGUUGAUAAUCCUGCACGAUAAUCAACGAACAAAAAGCAGUAAAUUUAAAAUUUUUUGUUAAAUCGAUUAUUGUUUCAAUUUUUUCUCAAAUGUAAUAAUAAAAAUUGAUGAAAUUUUGCAGGUGUCAUCAAUGAAAGAAUUUACAGCAUUCUUCAACAUAUAUUAUGUUAAAGAUUCUUGAAAGAAUGAGAAUUUCAAGAUUUUUUUUGUGGUUAAAUCACCUCACUUUUUUAAACUUAGAAAUCUCCAUUAUUAGCAAUAGUUCCAAUAUCAAUCAUAAAGGAAAAAGAUUUUUAUCAACAAUCUAGGUGCCAAAUUUGUGGUUCUAGCUACUUUCAAUUUUUAUGGUAUUUCCUAUACGAAUUUUCACAAUUUUUCUUGCCAUAUUUUUUCUCUCAUUGUCCAAGACAAGACAUGGAGGUCGCAUGAAAGUUGAGGAAGUUAUAAGUUUAAAUUCCAAAUUCAAACCACUCCACGGGUUGGAGUUCCACUUGACAGUUUUAUGAAGCUUUCACUUGAACGCUAUUAACCAAAAUAUUGGUUAACUUCAUAAAAUUGGACAGGGAGCGUGAAAAACGAGGUGCUUGGAAGGCAAUGUGAAAUAAGAGAGAGUAACAGUGACUGAAAAUUUUAUGGUCAAUUUUGUGAUAGCCGAUGUUCAUAUUGGACUUAUAUGAUUUAUAAAAUUAUCAUUAAUUCAUAAUUUCCCAAUCGUCCUUUUUAUACAUUUAAAACCUUACAAAACUAUUUACAUACAAGUCGUUAACCCUCUUGAAACCAGAGGCGGAGAUAGAGGGGGGCAUUGCUGGGCUACAACCCAGCAAUGCUCCCCAGCCCAUAUAAAUAAUAGGGCAACUUACAAAAAUACCCUUAAAAUUAGAGGUGUUUUGAAAAAUCAUUUGAAAAGUUUUUUAAAAGUAAAAAAUACUGUGUAAAAUGAAAAAGUGACACAAUGUCACUUUUUUUAAUAAAAAUUAUCACUUUUUUAAAAAAAGUGACACAAACACUUAAAAAGUGACAAAAUUCAAAAGAAGUGACAAACUCAAAAGUGGCAAACACAAAAAUAGCAUCAUUCAUUUUUGCAACACCAGUAAUCAUAUUUUUAACAUAAUCAACAUAUUGAGGACAAUCCACAUGAGCGUAGUGACGGUUUUUAACAUAAUCAGCAUGUUCAAGACAAUCCACAUGCUGAUUAUGUCAGAAAAAUAUAACAUAUCAUAUCACUUUUUAUCUUAUUAAAUAAGUGACAAAAAUUUAAAAGAUUACGAAAACUCAAAAAUAGUGACAAAAUGUAAAAAAGUGAAAAUGUCACUUUUGAAAGUUUAGUGUCACCUUUUUUUUAUUAAAAAAUGACAUACUUUUAUUAAAGAGUGAUGUUUGUCACUAAAAAAAAGUGAUAGAAAUUUCAAGAACGUUAUUGAUAAAAAGUGACAAACACUAAAAAAAGAGGCAAAAAUUCAAAAAAGUCACAAAUACCAAAAAAAGUGUCAAAAAUUAAUGAAAAUUUAAAAAAGUGUCGAAAUUUUGAAAAAGUGACGAAUUUAAAAAUACGACACAAAUUAAAAAAGCUACAUAGAUUCAAAAAAGUGGCUGAAAAUAGAAAAGUGACAAACAGUGAAAAAAGUGACGUAAAUUAAAAAAAGUGACAAAACUUUAAAAAAUGAUGAAACAUCGAUCAAAACUGUAAAAUAUAUCAUUUUAUGCAAAUUCAAUCCAAACUACAACUAAAAAUGCCCAACAACUAUCAACAUAAAAUUGAUCCAAUGCAAACACAAUCAUUACAAACAUAAAUUCUCUUUAAGCCAGACCAAGGUAUUGCCACAAAAGCAUCAAAUGAGAAACACUCGAAUGAUCUAAUGGUUUGCGAGAUAUAACAUGGUUCACGAUUGUAGUUCCAUAUGGAAACAUUAGAAUUCUCAGUCAAUGAGACAAUGUGCUUUCCAUUUGAGGUCAAUGAAGCAAAAAUGUGGUCCCCAACAUCACCUAGGCCUAUAGACAGAGUGAGAGUAUUAAUCUAGAAAAAUUGGAAAGACCAAUACAAAAUUCAAUAGGUGCCCAAAUCAUAUUAUUCCUCGAGAAAAUUCUUGGCCAAGAAAAGCACUAGUUGCAUACCUUCGUAUCUCCCAAUCACAUUCAACCCACUACGAAUUCUAAUUUGGAAAUUAGCACACGUGACCAACACUUUGCUCCAGUCCUACAGGAUAAACUACAUUUGUGGAGCAUCAAAUUAGAAUCGAAAUAAAGGUUUUAUUUUUUCAAGCAAACUUGCUCUCUCUAUACUUUUAUCUUCUAAUUAAAAAGAAGGGUGAUAGGCAAUUGAUGGUAACCUGGAAUCCAGUUACCCUUUUGCAGGCCGAACUCUUUUUACUGUUUAAGAACAUCUGCCCUUCCAGUUGGGAGUGGUUAUCUUACAAAAGAUAAAAGAAAAAACAUUAAUCAAUGCUUAGUCCCUAAAAGUGAGUUUCAGUUUCACUGCAAAAUUAUGGCAUAAUAGUAACAAAGUCAUAUGGACUUCAUGAGCAAAAUCAAAACCUUAGAACUAUUAUAAGAUGUGAAAUUAUAUGGCAUCAUAAGAGCAAUUGACCAUUAUUUUAAGAAAAAAAACCAAAAAAAUACUACAAAUUACAUGAUAUUUUAAAAAAAUGACACCUACCUGUAUUAGAGCCAAUAAUACCACCCUAAACAACAGAAAGAAAAAAAUUCCAUUAGUGCAUCUUAUAUUUUUGAAGCCACAAUUCCAUAAACACAAUCAUAUUCAACAAAAUCACUUCGAAAGAAUCUUUCAAACCAUAUUAACAUAUGGAGUUAGAUGAAUCACAACAUCGAACACUUGGUGUGCAUAUUUUGAUGAACUUGCAGAAGUUACUUAUCUGGCAUCUACAGUGUGAAUCCGCCAUGAAAUUUCUCUCAUGGUUAGUAGAAGAAGUGAGGUCAAUUCGCCCAGAGAUUGCUGGGGAUGCAAAGGAUUGCAACGGACAUUGGAUCUGCCAUAGACUUGUGAGAAAGUCCCACUGGUUGGUGGAGGUGUAGAGACGAUUCAGUAUGUGCUUGGUAGGCUGCUGGCUCGGAUAUGACGGUGGCACUGACUGUGACAAGCUCCACCAUCCAUGUACUGCACUUUUUUUAUUUGUUAUGGUAAUGAAAGUGGGAAAUAGUGAAGAAACACCAAUAGGUUCUCUCUCUCUCUCUACGUGUUGGAGCUUGAGAUUCUAGACGUAUAAAUUACAUUUUGAACUGUUUAAUUAGUUUAAAGUGUAUUUUUCAAUUUUGUUCCUCGUAGGCCGUACUAGGCCUAAUUUCCUCUAAAUAAUAUUAGUCCAAAUAUUAAUAUUAGCCCAGCUUUAAGAAGAAUUGUAGACUUUUGGCCCAAAAUAUUAAUAUUAGCUAGAUAUAGUUUAAAUCUCAAUCCAACUCCAAUGCUCAAUUAUUCAAAUUGUAUUAAAGACACUACAAUUAUUAAUUACUCUUUUCAUGGCAUUCAUGAAAUGUAAAUAUUUUAUUGUCAAAUUAGAUGUUCUAUUUAAUGCAUGUUUGACUAAAAUUUACUUAUAAUUAUUAAGUAAAUUUUAUUAUAGAUAAUUUGUAUUGAUUAGAUCUAAAAGUAAAUUAUUUGUUUUAAUAGAUAGAGACAUUACAUAUUUUUCUAAAUUUAAAAGUAAUUAAUUUUUUUUAUUACUACGUAUGUUUUUAUUUGUUACUAAUUCAUAUUUUAAAAAAAAUUAAAUAAAUAAAUAAAAACUUAUUUUGACCAUAAAAUAGAUAUUAUGAUCAAAAUAAAUAACAUACUAUAAAUUUGAUAUUGACAAUCAAAAGAAUAUUUGUGAAAACUUUCAGUUGUUUGGAAAGAUUGAUUGUCAAAGUUAUUAGAGGAGAGUACUCAUUGAAUAAUUUUUAAAAUUUUUGUUGGUUGAUAUGUAUUUUUGCUUAUUUCUAUUAUAAUUUGGUUAGUUUAUAUUUUUUAAAGUAAGUGUUGAUUUUCUAUUUGGUAAAAAAAUACAAAAAUUUAGUGGAAUAUCUUAAUGUGAGAUAUCUAAUUUUUAUUUUUAUUUUUUAAUUUCAUUGAGUGUCGUAUACUUUUUAUUGUGAAUGUUAUGAAAAUAGCUUUCGAAACUCGAUUUCUUGUGACGUAAGUUCAUUAAAAAAAAAAAAUUUAUGUUUCAGCCCAUCCUAACAUCAUUUUUUGGCUCCGCCCCUGCUUGAAACUGUGUUUUUUUUCUAGUUUUUAACUUUCAUGUCAGUUUGUCCCCAUUUGGUGGCCAUUAUUGAGAGAAAAUGAUGUUUUGAAUAGUGAUUAUUUGGAAAAUAUGUGCUUAAAAAGUAGUUAAAUGUCUGAAAGAAAGCGUGUUGAUCUGUCGGGGAAAAUUAUAUAGACUCUAAAAUUAUUUCCAACUGGGGAUGCUAAUAAUAUAUUCUAAGGUAUAUAAACUUUUAUUUCUUAUAGAUGAUUACAAGUAAAAGAACAAAAGAAUUACUACUUUACUAGACUCCAAACAAAUCAAUAAAUGUAAUAUUCCUGUGCCUAAAUUAAUCGAACUUCAGAAAACUAGUUCUUUUUACGCUGAGGUGUUAAGACUACACUCUGGAGGAAAUCCUUGGGAGAAUCGCUUUGAAUCAGAGCAAUAAUUAUAUAUCAUGUAAUUUUUCUGCACCCAUUUUAGCCUCUCUUGGCUUGUGGAAUCCAAUUCUUCAUUCAGCCAUGAAUUGCUGCUACUUGAAGUUGAAGAUGGAGUGCAAGAAGAUGAACCCGAUGAGGACGACACACAUGCAUCUGCAUUGAAAUUUCUGUAGGAUGCAGUAAAGGGAGCCUGAUUCCAGUCGGUUUUCACAAGCCCGCCUCUUGUUGCCCAAUCGUCAGCAUUCCACAAGCUAGAGUAAAUUCUCAUGGGUUGGUUCUUUGGGUAUGCAACACCUAGAGACUCAGCAUUCUUGAAUUCUCUGAUCGGUGUACCAUCCACAGAAAAGCUGAAAUGGGAGCACAAAUAAGUCAGAAAAACGAGACGAUAUCGUCUAAAUGUGAGGUGUUUGGUAACUGUGAAAUUACUUACAUGAUGCGUUGGGGAUUCCAGAGGAUGGAAUAGGUGUGAAAAUCUGCAGUCGGGUCGAACCAGAGAUAGAAUUGCUGCUCCCUGUUGCCCUUUCCUUGGCCAAACACAUUGGUGUGAAGAAUAUAAGGAUCCCCACUCAGGUUUCCCAAGAACUCGAAGUCUAUCUCAUCAUGGGUUGAUCCUUGAGAUGACAACUGCACAAUACAUAACACAAUAUUAGUUAUAACUUCCCAUCUAUAGUAUCAAGGAAGAAAAAAAGCUAAAAUAUCGUCCAGCUUACAUAAUAGGCAGUGACGGUGCCAGCAGAAUUUCCAGGUACGAGUUUGAGUUGCAUAUCAAUCUUGCCAAAUAGAUACUCAUUCUUGGAUUGAAAUCCAGAGCCAGAAAUUUUAUCAAGUGAGAGAGUCAGAAGUUCUCCAUUGUUGAGUAUCUUAGCUCUUCCAUCUCCCCAUGUGAUAUCAAAAUCUUGAUGGAAAUUACCUCCAAGUGCUAUUACAAAACAGCUACUUAUAACUAAAACUAAAGAAACUGAAUUCAAAGAAGCCAUUAUUGAAGAGUUGAAUUGCGUUGGCAAAGUAUAAUGAAUAAAUCUAAGAAGAUUUGGUGUUUAAGAUUGUUGUUUGAUGUUGGAAUAGGAUCCAUUCAAGGGUAUUUAUAGGGAGUUUGUGGGGUCUGUAGAAAUUGCAGGGAGGGUUCCAUAAAUUCAAGUUGUGUGGUGAAAAGUGUUUGAGCUGGAUACAGAUAUUGGCCAAAACGAGUUGCUGUCAACAGUUUUUUGUAUAUCCAGUGACAACCCAUUUCGCCUUUUAAUAUUUAUUAUUAAUACCACAGUCUACACUGUUCUGAUAAUAUUGUCCUAAGUGUAAGCUUUUGACUAGAGUACAACUGAUUUACCUUUCAAAUAGUAAUACCUCUACAAUUUAAAAUAGAUAUCGAUUCAUUUACAUACUGAUACAUCUAUAAUUCAAAGGAAUCAAACCGGACAAGAUCCAAAAUCGCUCGAUUUGCUCCAAUUAAAUUUUCCAUUGUCUACAGAACCUACUUGUCCAUUUUGAAAUUCUCAAUGGGAUUUGGUUCGGUUCAAGUUCUCAAGAAACUCAGGUUGAACAAGCUGGUAUCCACCCCUAAUAUUAAUUACUUUAAAGGUCCUUACCUUUAUCAUUUUCUUAUUUACAUCUUUAACUUUUUCAUCACAUCUUUAUUUUUAACAUUUCCUUAGCUAGCAAAUAUUAUCCUUAAUCGCAAUUUUCUUGCACAAAUGUUAUUAACGUGCUCUAAAAUGAGGAAUAAAUAUAUAGUUGUAAUUCUAUUUUUUUGGCUUAUUUAAAAAUACAAUGGUAAAUGUCUUUAUUUUAUUUGGACAAAAACCGCAAUAAGGGACAAGUUGUGUUAAUUUGAGAAUAAGAAUACAGUUUUAAAAAAUUAAGACAUAAAUGUGAUAAUGAUUAAAUAUUACAAACAUUUUCAUGCAAUCAAAAUGUGUUGUAAUUAUUAAAAAAUAUUUUGUGAAUAUAUUUAGCUUUACUAAAUAAUCACACACUGAAUAGAAGUUUUGGUUUAAGACAUAUUUCGUUUUCUUUAAGUUUAUCGAUUCAGCUCAAUCAAUUAUCAACAACCCUCAAAUUUGUUACUUAGCCCCUGUUUGAGCCACAUUUUUACUUCAUUAAAAUGAAAAAUAUGACCGUUAUUCAUCACAUCAAGCCACAAUUUUUGAAUUUCUAUCUCUGGUGUGGGGGCCCAUAACGGUUCUAUUUCUCAUUCUCAUUCUCAUUAUAAUGUGGCUCAAAUAGGCUCUUAAUAAUAAAUGUUUUAGCAUUAAACUAAUCAAAUAAGCCAUUAAUUUUUCAAUAGAGAUUUUAAAUUUUGAAAUAGACAUCAUCAAAUUGUAUUUGGUUCUUUAUUAGUGUUAUAACUUUUUUAUUUUUACAUUCUAAAAAAUAUAUAAUAAUAAUCGUUAUCUAGGUUUCCUCCAGAUAUCAUUAUUGGAUUCGGUAAAGAGAUCUGGCCACUGAAUUCACCAUUGUUCUUGUCCUACAUUGACAUUUAUUUUGUGGACUUUGGCUUUACUAGUUUUAUUGUUGUCUAGUUACAAUCUAUGCAUUACGCUCUAUUGGUUACUCUAUUUCAAAUCCAUUUAUAAAAAUUCUUUAGUUUUUUGAGAAAAACAUUAGUUCGAUCUAGAAAGAUUUGAUUAAAGUGAAGGUGAUCGACGACGAUGAGUUCACUUUUGCUUUUGUUACAAGGGAUUUCCGGAGAAUUUGAUUAAGCCCCUGUUUUCUUGAAAUUAAAAUAAAUAAAUAAAUAAAUAAAUAAAUUUUUAGUAGAUUUUGAUAAAAGUUGAUUAAAUAUGUGGUUGAAAAGUUGUGAAUCUAAUGAAAUGUAUAAUUAAAGAGUUUAACUCGUAUUUUAAUUAUUUUUUAGCUGAGCCAAAAAGAGGGCUAAAUUUUAGAAACUUCCCUCGUUGAUAUAAGAGAUUUUUGGGAAUUUUAGGAGUGUCUUAAGUAUUAGAUGUGACUCAUGCCUUAUAAUCGUUUGGAGGCGGGUCAAGUAACUUUGGUGCAAUAGGUCGAGUCUUGUGUUAACAUUAACAAUAUUAGUGUUGAUUAUUAAAUUGAAAAUUAUUUGAAUGGAAUAAAGCCUCGAAGGGGAUUAUCGAUUGUACUACCAAAAGUGUGACACAAUGAACUUUCGCCAAUAAUUAUUCACAAAAUAUAUUUCAGGUCCACUCAAGCUCUCUCAACGCGGAUUGUUUAUAAAUGUGGCCCCCUUGGCCUUAUAAAAAUAAACCUCAAUAGAAUUGAACUUAUAUAAAUGUACCUCAUUUUAUGAUCAUGAUCAAUUUGAUCAUAUGUAUAAUAUUAACUCUCAGAAUUCUCUACAUAGAUAUUUACAUGAAAGAUUUUAGAAAGUUUGUAUACAAUUACGAAAUUAGCCACUUCAAAUAGGUUCAUUGCUCCAGCUCAAAAUACGAUUAAUCCGACGUUGGCUAUAUAAGCUCCUAGUAGUUUACCGAAUAAUUAAUAACUCGAGCAUUCCCGGCCCACCAAGCAAAAUCGGUGAUUUCUUGGUCAUGAUCAAUUACAGCUAAAGUUCCAAUUUACAUAAUUUCCUUUUAAAAAUCUUCAGUCACAAUCUUUGCACAAUACAAUCCAUUUUCACGCGUCUCUUAACCUUUUAGAAUAAUUAUACAAAAGACUUUCACAAGUAUACUUUCAAAUUACCCCCAACGCAUAUCUAUCAAUGAAUCCCAUUAAGUAAUGUUGUUGAUAAUCCUGCACAAUAAUCAACGAACAAAAAGCAGUAAAUUUAAAAGUUUUUGUAAAAUUGACUAUUGUUUCAAUUUUUUCUCAAAUGUAAUAACAAAAAUUGAUGAAAUUUUGCAGGUGUCAUCAAUGAAAUAAUUUAUAGCAUUCUUCAACAUAGAUUAUGUUAAAUAUUCUUGAAAGAAUGAGAAUUUCAAGAUAUUUUUUGUGGUUAAAUCACCUCACUUUUUCAAACUUAGAAAUCUCCAUUAUUAGCAAUAGUUCCAAUAUCAAUCAUAAUGAAAAAAAGAUUAUUAUCAACAAUCUAUGUUAGAAUUUAUUGAAUGAAAUUAAACUCCAUAAAAUAAAAGAAAGAGGCACUCCAUGAUUGGAGGAGAAGAAACCUCCAUGAAAGGAGGGAUUGGAAUUCCACAAUACAAUUAUUUAUUAAUGAAUACAAUCACUCCAUUUAUAGAGAAAAAAGAUGAGUAAUUAACUGACUAAUUUGCUAAUUAACAGGCUAAUCACUAACUAAUUAACAUCCUAGACAUGAGCUGAAAUAUUCGAAAUUUGCUGUAACAUAUUUCUAACACACCCCCUCAAGAUGGACUAUAGAUAUCAACAAUAGUUCAUCUUGAAGAUUAAAGAGUGUACUGGAGGGAAAAACCAUGAUGAAUAGCCUUGCAGAACAAAUCUCUUGAAUCCAUAUAUAUGAGCAUCCAUUAGAUCAGCACGAAACAUCACCAAACAUUCCAUUCCCAUUCCAUUUCGUGCCAGUGCACAAUGCUUUCAGAGUUGAGGAGACUUGUUUUGUAUGGAAAACUUGGUAAGGUUCAUAAUGUAGAAAGGGAUGAUGUUCUCAAUGGAAGCAAACUGGCGGGUCAUUAGAUUUCACCAGAUCUGAUGGAUAAACAAGACUUAGUGUAGGCUUUGACCAUCCAUAAAGAUCUUUGAAAGUUUAGAGAACCAAAAUCUGAAAGAGAAGAAAUUUUAUUGUAGAGAAUCAAGGACGAAUUUUGAUGUUGCUGGCGCCAUUUUCUGAAGACGGGAACUGAACUUUUGCUGGAAUAACACUUUCCAGAAUUAUGCUAAAAUAGAAGAAAUUAGAGAUCUGUUUUCAUUUGUACAGAACACAGAAAGAGGGGAUGAAAAUCUCAAAAAAACACAGCAACAGGAAGAACUCUGCUCUGAUACUAUGUUAGAAUUUAUUGAAUGAAAUUAAACUCCAUAAAGCAGAAGAAAGAGGCACUCCAUGAUUGGAGGAGACGAAACCUCCAUGAAAGGAGGGAUUGGAAUUCCACAAUCCAAUUAUUUAUUAAUGAAUACAAUGACUCCAUUUAUAGAGAAAAAAUAUGAGUAAUUAACUGACUAAUUUGCUAAUUAACAGGUUAAUCACUAACUAAUUAACAUCCUAGACAUGAGCUGGAAUAUUCUAAAUUUGCUGUAACAUAUUUCUAACAAUCUAGGUACCAAAUUUGGUGAAUUUUCAUACCAAAUUUGUGGUUCUAGCUACUUUCAAUUUUGAUGGUAUUUCCUAUACGAAUUUUCACAAUUUUUCUUGCCACAUUUUUUCUCUCGUCCAAGACAAGACAUGAAAGUUGAGGAAGGUUGCGAGAAGUUAUAAGUUUAAAUUCCAAAUUCAAACCACUCCAACCCGUGGAGUUUCACUUGAUAGUUUUAUGAAGUUUUCACUUGAACGUUGUAAACCAAAAUACUAUUUACAAGUGCAACAUAAAAUUGGACAGGGAGCAUGAAAAACGAGGUGCUUGCAAGGCAAUGUGAAAUAAGAGAGAGUAACAGUGACUGAAAAUUUUAUGGUCAAUUUUGUGAUAGCUGAUGUUCAUAUUGGACUUGUAUGAUUUAUAAAAUUAUCAUUAAUUCAUAAUUUCCCAAUCGUCUUUUGCUAAUAAUAUAUUCUAAUGUAUAUAAACUUGUUAAGGACUUGCAUGUAAAUAGUUAUGUAAUUUUUUAACUUUCAUGUCAGUUUGCCCCCAUUUGGUGGCCAUUAUUGAAAGAAAAUGAUGUUUUGAAUAGUGAUUUUUUUUGGAAAAUACGUGAUUAAAUUUUAGUUAAAUGUCUGAAAGAAAGCAAAGGAACAUGUGAUAACUUUCCAAUAUGUUGAUCUGUCGGGAAAAAUUAUAUAGACUCUAAAAUUAUUUCCAACUGGGGAUGCUAAUAAUAUAUUCUAAUGUAUAUAAACUUUUAUUUCUUACAGAUGAUUACAAGUAAAAGAACAAAAGAAUUACUACUUUACUAGACUCCAAACAAAUCAAUAAAUGUAAUAUUCCUGUGCCUAAAUUAAUCAAACUUCAGAAAAUUAAUUCUUUUUAAGCUGAGGUGUUAAUACUACACUCUGGAGGAAAUCCUUGCGAGAAUCGCUUUGAAUCAGAGCAAUAAUUAUAUAUCAUGUAAUUUUUCUGCACCCAUUUUAGCCUCUCUUGGCUUGUGGAAUCCAAUUCUUCAUUCAGCCAUGAAUUGCUGCUACUUGAAGUAGAAGAUGGAGUGCAAGAAGAUGAACCCGAUGAGGACGAAACACAUGCAUCUGCAUUGAAAUUUCUGUAGGAUGCAGUAAACGGAGCCUGACUCCAGUCGGUUUUCACAAGCCCCCCUCUUGUUGCCCAAUCGUCAGCAUUCCACAAGCUAGAGUAAAUUCUCAUGGGUUGGUUCUUUGGGUAUGCAACACCUAGAGACUCAGCAUUCUUGAAUUCUCUGAUCGGUGUACCAUCCACAGAAAAGCUGAAAUGGGAGCACAAAUAAGUCAGAAAAACGAGACGAUAUCGUCUAAAUGUGAGGUGUUUGGUAACUGUGAAAUUACUUACAUGAUGCGUUGGGGAUUCCAGAGGAUGGAAUAGGUGUGAAAAUCUGCAGUCGGGUCGAACCAGAGAUAGAAUUGCUGCUCCCUGUUGCCCUUUCCUUGGCCAAACACAUUGGUGUGAAGAAUAUAAGGAUCCCCACUAAGGUUUCCCAAGAACUCGAAGUCUAUCUCAUCAUGGGUUGAUCCUUGAGAUGACAACUGCACAAUACAUACACAAUAUUAGUUAUAACUUCCCAUCUAUAGUAUCAAGAAAGAAAAAAAGCUAAAAUAUCGUCCAGCUUACAUAAUAGGCAGUGACGGUGCCAGCAGAAUUUCCAGGUACGAGUUUGAGUUGCAUAUCAAUCUUGCCAAAUAGAUACUCAUUCUUGGAUUGAAAUCCAGAGCCAGAAAUUUUAUCAAGUGAGAGAGUCAGAAGUUCUCCAUUGUUGAGUAUCUUAGCUCUUCCAUCUCCCCAUGUGAUAUCAAAAUCUUGAUGGAAAUUACC